This 230-nucleotide ribosomal RNA is filed under the name uncultured bacterium. RNAcentral's name for it is "partial 16S ribosomal RNA". It matches the Rfam family "Bacterial small subunit ribosomal RNA", at positions 560 to 791 of the family's 1533-position model. The record is from RNAcentral.
GUAAAGCGUGCGCAGGCGGUUUGUAAGACUGUCGUGAAAUCCCCGGGCUCAACCUGGGAAUGGCGAUGGUGACUGCAAGGCUAGAGUUUGGCAGAGGGGGUAGAAUUCCACGUGUAGCAGUGAAAUGCGUAGAUAUGUGGAGGAACACCGAUGGCGAAGGCAGCCCCCUGGGUCAAAACUGACGCUCAUGCACGAAAGCGUGGGGAGCAAACAGGAUUAGAUACCCCGGU